RNAcentral lists this ribosomal RNA (669 nucleotides) under Corypholophus sp. MPE04249. Its description in RNAcentral is "partial large subunit ribosomal RNA". Lineage: Eukaryota; Metazoa; Arthropoda; Diplopoda; Polydesmida; Opisotretidae. The record is from RNAcentral.
GGUAGUUUUAGUUAUGAUAUGUAAUUCGAAUUAUUUUAGCUAGUUAUUUUAUAGUUUUAAUUUUAUUGUAUUAUAUAAGGAAAUUAAGUUGGGAUUAUCUAAUUUAAUAAAAUAUAUGAUAAGAUUUAUUAAAAAAAGUUUAAUUAGAGGUGUUAGUUUUUAUGAUUUUAUAAUUAUAUAAUUAAAGAUUUUUGAGAGAUUAUUUUUGUAUAAGAUUAAUUUUUGAAAUUUUAAAAAAGAGGAAAUUAUGAAUAAAUUAGUAAAUUUUAUUAAAUGAAAAGAUUUUUUUUAAAAAAUAGAAAUUUUUUGAAUGAAUUAGGCAAAAUAUUUUUUGACUGUUUAGCAAAGACAUUGUUUUUUGAUAAGAAUAAGAAGUAAUUUCUGCCCACUGUAAAAAUAAAGGGCUGCAGUAUAUUAACUGUAUUAAGGUAGCAAAAUCAUUAGUUUUUUAAUUGAAAACUGGUAUGAAGGGAUAACAGUGAAUAACUUUAUUAAAAGAAUAAGUUAAAGUUUUUAAUUAUGUGAAAAUUCAUAAUUUAUAGAAUUAGACGAGAAGACCCUAAAAAAUUUUAUUAAAAGUAAUUUUUAAAAAAAGGUAAAUUAUUAAUAAUAUUAUAAAUUUAGUUUGAUUGGGGUGAUUGAUUUUUAACAUAAUUUAAUUUUAAUUUU